AUGAGCAGCAAGAGCACAAUACAAAUGUUGAUCAACAAAACUUGCUGGAAAGACAAGAAUCUGCCAAAGUCAAAGAAAAAUGAUAAAGCGGAGUCUCAGAUCAAGGGGAAGAUUCUCCUGUCAACAGCCCCACCUAAACCAGCUAAGCAGCAAAAGAUUGUCAAGUUUGCCAAGGGCACAAAGGAGGAACAGGGCAGAAAAGGUGUGGGGUCCAGACACGAGACAAAACAACGUGCCACAGCCAUCGAUGCAGGACUGCCAAGUUCUGAUAGUUUGGUGCCAACUCAGGCUGCAAAGGUACCAACUUCAGAUACCAGUGUACCAACUGAAGUGGUCACAGUCAAAACUAGCAGAGUUGCUCAGGAAGACUCAACUGCAACCGCAAGCCCCAAGGUGACCAUUCAUAGAGAUUCUUCAAUGCCAAACACGGAAGGAGGUUGUCAAUCUGUCAAAUUGCCAUCUCCAAGAGCUAUCACAGAGCAUCCAAGCAAGUUUGCAUCACCAAGAGCUGAUUUUCAGAACAUAUUAACACAAGAGGAGGUGUUCAACAUUGUAAGCAGGUGCAAGCCUCCCAAGCCGCCAACCACAAUAUUACUGCGAACCAGGUCAGCGAACGAUGCACCUGUGAAUGUGCCACAAGAAGAUGCCCCUGGCCUUCAACCCAUAUGCAGAUCAAAUUCUUACAGCUAUCAUGGUGACGGGUACUGCGAUGCACCAACUUUUGACCUAGGCAUAGAUGAUGAUGCUGGGCAUGCUGCAGCACUUGCUCCAGCAGCACAAACAGGGGAAGCAAACAUGGUUGUCAUAGAUGAGGAUGAGUUGGACCCAGCAACAGUGAAUGAAGGAUGCGUUGCUGCUGAUGCUGGCAAGGGAUUGGCUCACCAGCCAGAUGUUGGAUCACCAGACAACUGCCACACCCUGAUAUGCGAAGAACCAGCAGUUGGCAUGAGCAGUUCUUUAGGACCACCUUUUGCACGAAGAUAG
This 984-nucleotide ribosomal RNA is filed under the name Triticum aestivum (bread wheat). RNAcentral's name for it is "partial small subunit ribosomal RNA". Lineage: Eukaryota; Viridiplantae; Streptophyta; Magnoliopsida; Poales; Poaceae. The record is from RNAcentral.